GUAAGUUAGUAGGUAAGUGAAUGAGUAAGUUAGUAGGUAAGUGAAUGAGUAAGUUAGUAGGUACGUGAAUGAGUAAGUUAGUAGGUAAGUGAAUGAGUAAGUUAGUAGGUAAGUGAAUGGGUAAGUUAGUAGGUACGUGAAUGAGUAAGUUAGUAGGAAAGUUAAUGAGUAAAUUAGUAAGUGAGUAAAUAAAUGAAUUAAUAAAUAAACAGAUUAAGGGCUCAUGGUGGCUUAGUGGUUAGCACUCGCUAACUUAGUGGUUCACCUCACACCUCCAAGGUUGGGGGUUCGAUUCCCACCAUGGCCCUGUAUGUGCAGAGCUUGCAUGUUCUCCCCAUGCUGUGGGGGUUUCCUCCAGGUACUCCGGUUUCCUCCCCAGUGCAAAGACAUGCAUGGUAGACUGAUUGGCAUGUCUAAAGUGUCCGUAGUGUAUGAAUGGGUGUGUGAAUGUGUAUGCGAAUGUGCCCU
Molecule: long non-coding RNA, 468 nt
Organism: Ictalurus punctatus (channel catfish)
Lineage: Eukaryota; Metazoa; Chordata; Actinopteri; Siluriformes; Ictaluridae
Source: Ensembl